AUCAAUCACAGGGCAGGGUGGGCAGGGGCUGGGCUCCGGGGGGCCACCCAGCCGGGCCAGAGGUGGUGCUGCAUGCCCAGCUCCCUGGCUGCUGGCCCUGCCCGGCUUGGAGCUGCCACAAUUUCUGCUCUGAGAGCUGGACUAGAAUCCUUGGCGGCCACUGACUGGCCUCGUCUCCAGGUCCCUCCUGGAGUCCGCGCAUGGAUCCAGCCAAGACCUCUGGGCCCAGUGCCCCAGGGUGAGGGGCCCACGUGAACCUAACACGACUGGUGCAGAGCCGUGCGCGGAGGCCGGAGCUCUGCUCUUUCUGGCAGAGACCACGGACGCUCUCCGGAAGCAAACAUCGAGCCCUUUCUGAAAGUCACGGGUGGUCUGCCCGUUGGUGCCCAAGGCUGUGCUGACCGGCACCCCACCCACCUCCCCUGGCCCCCGGGGGAAGGCCUGUGGCUGUGAGCUGAAGCCCCACUGGCCGUGGACCCUCUGCUCUAGGCCCUCAGACUUCAGGGGCUCAGCCCCCUCCAGGGGGCAUCUGCUGCUGGGCCAUGAGACAGCCCCAGAAAGAUGCACCUGCCAGGGCGCACCCCACCCCAGCCAUGCUGUAGCUCACCCCCGCCAGGGCAUACCCCACCCCAGCCAGGCCGUACCCACCCCCACCAGGCCGUACCCCAUCCCAGCCAGGCCGUAUCCGACAUCAGCCAGGGCGCACCCCACCCCAGCCAGCGUGUGCCCACCCCAGCCAAGGCAUACCUGACGCCAGCCAGGACAUACAGCGCCCCUGCCCCCCUCCCACACACACGGCCAGGCCAGGCCAGCUGUCCACUCUUUAACAGGGAAAGCUGAGGGGGUCAGGCCCCAGAGUGGCUUCCCCGGGAAAGAAGGCCCCUCUCCUGGCUGGGAGAGAAAACCACUGGGCCUGCAGGAGCAACACCUCGUUCGCCAGUGGAGCUGUCACCCUAAGGUCAAGGUCAUGUGUCCCCCAUACCUGGUGGUCCUGGAGAUGGACAGCAGGCUCCGAUUCUGCUUCUGGAAAUACACUCGCAAUUAAACCGAGAAGUCGGAGAGCCGCCUGGAGAGCCAAGCGGCAGUUACACAACCCUCACCGGGCUCCCAGUGGCCCAGCGCAGCGGGAAGACGCACGUGCCUGCGGCCACUCCGGUCCUGCUGUGGCCUCCCGGGCAAGGAUGAGCGCAGGAGUGGACAGAGUCCUUGUCACCACCGUGCUCACGCUCUGGCAGAGUCCUUGUCACCACCGUGCUCAAGCGACGGGGCACGCCUCGGAUCAGGCACCACCAGGGUUGGAAGGAGUGUGGCUGAGCAUGCGGGGGUGGGGGCAGCUGGGGAGGGGACAUUGGAUAAGAUCUGACAGCACAAAGGAGGCAGCACGGGUACAUCUGGGCAGAGGGCAAAGCCAGUGUGAAGGCCCUGGGGCAGGAGACCGUUAGUGGCGGAGCAGAGAGGGCCAGUGAGCAAGGCCGCAGCGUCGGGCAGGUGCGGGGAGGUUGGGGGGGGUUGGGGCAGGCGGGUGGGGGAGGCUGGGGAGGGGACGCGCCAGGGCUUGGCGUGGGAGGGCAUCUGCAGCAGGGGGCAAACCUGGCCCCCUGGGGUUUGCUUCCAAUGGCCCUGCCUGCACGGGCUGGCCUGCCAAGUUCGCCUCCAGGGGAAACUGCUUAUUUGUUUAGGAAAAAAUGUUAAGGGACUUUCGUUUCUAAAAGGAGAACCCAGAGCUCGGUCUGGACCUGGAAUCAAGACAGAGUGGAAGCGCUCCCCCUCAGAAGGAGGGCCCCGAGGGGAAAGCUGCUGAGCGGCCCCCCUUUGCCUGCGGGGAGGGGAGGGGAGGGCAGGGGAGGGCCGGGCAGCGCGGGGAGGGGUGCAUCAGACCUGGUUUUCAUUUAAUUUCUCUGAUGGCUGGGGAGAUUACUUUCACUUCGGACGUUUGAAUUAUUUUAUGUAAACUGUUUCACCCUAGUCCUUCUCCAUUUUCCAUUGGGCUCUCUGUCUUUUUCUUCUGUUUUGGAACCUCUUCUUCUGUCACAAAUAUUUUCCCAAUUUGUCACUGUGUUAUUUUUUUAUUUAUUGAAGAUAUUUAUAGAUACAAAGAUGUUAGAAUUGUACACACUCGAAUUUAUCUGUAUUUUCCUUUCAUGAUUCCUCUUCGGAUUAGUGCCUAGAAAGGCCUCAUCCAAUUAAAAACUGGUGCAAUACUUCCAUAUGCCUUUUUAAUUUAUGGAGUGAUUUUCUUUUUGAUGUGUUCUCUAAUCCAUCUGAAAUUAAUUUGUGUGGAUACUUGGGUAGGGAUAUAACUUUAUUUUUUUUCUUCCGAUAAUUAACCAAUUCCCCCCGCGUCGUGUGUUGAACAUUCGCUGUGGAACAGUGCAGUCCUCCUGGGCCUGGACUUUGAGGGAGACUCUUGGUGAAGGGGCCCAUCGGAGCUGUGGGCAGGGUUUCUGGAAACUGAGAGGCCUGAGCCUUCCCCAGGAGCUGGCGCUGGGUCGUCCUGGGCCUGAAGCUACCCAGAGUGUCACUGGGAUGGCACAGGGGAGCUGUUUGCAGAGACACCCCCGCAGGGCCCUGCCCCUGGGGUAGAGACGCAGCCUGUCCAGAGCAAGCUGGCAGAGCGGUCAGGAAGGAAGGCCCCGCACCCCCACCCCCGUGCCCCCUGGCGGGUGGCCCCAGGAGGCUGAGAGCCAGGCUGAGGAGUUCUGGAAGGCAGAGGAAAUCUGAGUUCCAGCCAUCCCUCGGGGGAGCCCUGAGCCCCUCCCCAAGGCAGUCACCGGAUGGCCACCUGCACCCUCGCAGCCUUGGGGCCCGAGGCUGACCUGCUGGGCAGACAGACGAGGCCUGCAGACCAGGCUUUGCUUAAGCUGCAUUCGGCCCCACCAGCUCCACCCCCGCCCGGAUGGACAGACGGACAGAGUGGCAGGUGUUGGGGAGCCCUCCUUCCUCUGCCUGGAGCAACUGGGGACGGAGAAACAUCUGGACCUCACUGGCUCUCACACACACCGUGUUACGCUUGUAACCAAGUUACCAAACUUGGGAAGAGGCAGGAAAGUAGGACCCACAAUUAAGAGGAAAGUACAAGUGGACCAGAGGUGAUUCGGAGGUUCGAGUCAGCGGACAAAGGCUUUAACGGGGACGAAUCUGUUAUACCACAGGAAAGAUGGAAUAAGUAGGUGAAAAAUGGGAAUUGAUGUCUUAAAAAAAUUAAGGUUUAGAUGAUAAAACCAUCACAUGGAAAUCGCCAACUUCAAUCUUCAGGCUCUGAAAUGAGUAAUUCACUAAUGGCUUUAGCAGCGGAACACAGGCCUGUGACCUGGAAAAAGCAGGUGAAUAGAAAAAACCCAGACUGUGGCACGGAGAGUAAAACCAGAGAAGCAGGUGAGGGACGCAGGCGGUGGGCGCCACGCUCUGGUCGCCUUGCGGCUGGAGCUCCGGAGACACCGGUGCAGACGGCCGAGGGCAAAGAGGUGACGCCCUAGACGCUUCCAGAAGGGGGAAAACCGCCACCUCGGGGAUUCAAGAAGCUCUGCAAACCCUGGCAGAAAGAUCAAGCUAAUGAAGAAUAAAAGAUACUCUUAAUUCCA
RNAcentral lists this long non-coding RNA (3581 nucleotides) under Sus scrofa (pig). RNAcentral describes it as "lncRNA (ENSSSCG00070022225.1)". The record is from RNAcentral. Lineage: Eukaryota; Metazoa; Chordata; Mammalia; Artiodactyla; Suidae.